CCCCGGGCACACGAGGCAUCCUCUGCGGUUGCGCAGCCCGCCGAAGAGCGUGCGACUUCUACUGCGGCUGCGCAAGCUGGACGCGCGCAGUCUUGUCUGCUUACGAGGGCUCCUCCCUUCAUCUUUGGUCCCUCGGGGCGUCUGGGCAGCCUACGCUUUCCG
Molecule: long non-coding RNA, 162 nt
Filed under: Pongo abelii (Sumatran orangutan)
Lineage: Eukaryota; Metazoa; Chordata; Mammalia; Primates; Hominidae
Rfam family: TTC28 antisense RNA 1 conserved region 1
Source: RNAcentral